RNAcentral lists this unclassified non-coding RNA (345 nucleotides) under soil metagenome. RNAcentral's name for it is "partial contains 5.8S ribosomal RNA, internal transcribed spacer 2, and large subunit ribosomal RNA". The stretch from base 1 to 120 matches the Rfam family "5.8S ribosomal RNA", at positions 35 to 154 of the family's 154-position model. The record is from RNAcentral.
GAUGAAGAACGUAGCGAAAUGCGAUACGUAAUGUGAAUUGCAGAAUUCAGUGAAUCAUCGAGUCUUUGAACGCACAUUGCGCCCUCUGGUAUUCCGGAGGGCAUGUCUGUCCGAGCGUCAUUGCUGCCCUCAAGCACGGCUUGUGUGUUGGGCUCCGUCCCCCGAUCCCGGGGGACGGGCCCGAAAGGCAGCGGCGGCACCGCGUCCGGUCCUCGAGCGUAUGGGGCUUUGUCACCCGCUCUGUAGGCCCGGCCGGCGCUUGCCGAUCAACCAAAUUUUUAUCCAGGUUGACCUCGGAUCAGGUAGGGAUACCCGCUGAACUUAAGCAUAUCAAUAAGCGGAGGA